Molecule: ribosomal RNA, 512 nt
Filed under: uncultured bacterium
Lineage: Bacteria
Description: bacterial SSU rRNA
Rfam family: Bacterial small subunit ribosomal RNA
Source: RNAcentral
AGAGUUUGAUUAUGGCUCAGAACGAACGCUGGUGGCGUGUUUAUACAUGCAAGUCGAGCGAGGACAGUAGCUUGCUACUGAGCCGAGCGGCGAACGGGUGAGUAACGCGUAAGCAAUCUGCCCCCACAAUCGGGAACAACCGUGCCAACGCGCGGCUAAUGCCGGAUAUUGUGUCCUACUGCAUAGUAGGUUAACGAAAGAUUUAUCGUUGUGGGAUGAGCUUGCGUCCGAUUAGCUAGUUGGCGGGGUAAUAGCCCACCAAGGCGACGAUCGGUAGCCGGCCUGAGAGGGUGAUCGGCCACAUUGGGACUGAGAUACGGCCCAGACUCCUGCGGGAGGCAGCAGUGGGGAAUCUUGCGCAAUGGGCGAAAGCCUGAACCGCAGCGACGCCGCGUGGGGGAUGACGGCCUUCGGGUUGUAAACCUCUUUUACCACUAACGCAGGCUCGGGGUGUUCUCCGGGUUGACGGUAGGUGGGGAAUAAGGACCGGCUAACUACGUGCCAGCAGCAGC